RNAcentral lists this ribosomal RNA (378 nucleotides) under Triticum aestivum (bread wheat). RNAcentral describes it as "partial small subunit ribosomal RNA". Lineage: Eukaryota; Viridiplantae; Streptophyta; Magnoliopsida; Poales; Poaceae. The record is from RNAcentral.
AUGAGAACUAAAGCAGUUGCUGCAAGGGGGAAGCACCCUGAUGAUAUCAUUAGUAACGAGAAUAGUAACGAGAGCCAAGCUGUAGAUGCUCAGAACAAAAAUGUUGAAUGUGCAGACGUCGACCAACCUCCAAAAGCAAAACGCCAGAAGACGGGAGGAACUGAGGGUCGUAGGAACAGGGCAUCCCCUACAAGGCUCUUCAAGUUGAACAAGGACUUGGUUCCUGACCAAAAGGGUGUCAUCAUCGGAAGAGAAUUUGGUGUCAUUCUGGAUCUUGCAGCGAGUAGCAUGCCCGGAGAUUUUAGCCAGUGGAUAAUGAAGCAUUAUGACCCGGAGAUUUCGCAGAUAGUCAUUCCAGAAAGGGGAAGAUUCCUGUAG